RNAcentral lists this non-coding RNA (28 nucleotides) under Mus musculus (house mouse). The record is from RNAcentral. Lineage: Eukaryota; Metazoa; Chordata; Mammalia; Rodentia; Muridae.
UGUAAUUGUUGUAUUCUCAGUGUCAUGU